AACGUACGCUGGCGGCACGCCUAACACAUGCAAGUCGAGCGAGGUAGCAAUACCUAGCGGCAGACGGGUGAGUAACAUGUGGGAAUCUGCCUUUUGGUUCGGAACAACACGGGGAAACCUGUGCUAAUACCGGAUAAGUCCUAACGGAGAAAGUUUUAAUGCCAAAAGAUGAGCCCGCAUUUGAUUAGCUAGUUGGUAAGGUAAAAGCUUACCAAGGCGACAAUCAAUAGCUGAUUUGAGAGGAUGAUCAGCCACACUGGGACUGAGAUACGGCCCAGACUCCUACGGGAGGCAGCAGUGGGGAAUCUUGCACAAUGGGCGAAAGCCUGAUGCAGCGAUGCCGCGUGAGUGAAGAAGGCCUUUGGGUUGUAAAGCUCUUUUGUCGGGAAAGAUAAUGACUGUACCCGAAGAAUAAGGUCCGGCUAACUUCGUGCCAGCAGCCGCGGUAAUACGAAGGGACCUAGCGUAGUUCGGAAUUACUGGGCGUAAAGAGUAUGUAGGCGGCUAGAUAAGUUAAUUGUGAAAGCCCAAAGCUUAACUUUGGAAUUGCAAUUAAAACUAUUUAGCUGGAGUAUGAUAGAGGAAAGCGGAAUACAUAGUGUAGAGGUGAAAUUCGUAGAUAUUAUGUAGAACACCAGUUGCGAAGGCGGCUUUCUGGAUCAUUACUGACGCUGAGAUACGAAAGUAUGGGUAGCGAAGAGGAUUAGAUACCCUCGUAGUCCAUACCAUAAACGAUGAUUAUUAGAUGUGGGGAAUUAUUUCUCUGUAUCAUAGCUAACGCGUUAAAUAAUCCGCCUGGGGAGUACGACCGCAAGGUUAAAACUCAAAUGAAUUGACGGGGACCCGCACAAGCGGUGGAGCAUGUGGUUUAAUUCGAAGCAACGCGCAGAACCUUACCAACCCUUGACAUGUUUGUCGCGAGACUAAGAAAUUGGUCUCU
Molecule: ribosomal RNA, 940 nt
Filed under: uncultured bacterium
Lineage: Bacteria
Description: bacterial SSU rRNA
Rfam family: Bacterial small subunit ribosomal RNA
Source: RNAcentral